AGACUUAUAGAUCAACUACCAAGCAUAUCCCCAAGUUUUACUUCACCCUUGCUUGUCAUUGAUCAUACAAUUUCAUCACGGGAUCACACACUUGCUUGAUUUUCUUUGUUGUGAGCCAUAUAAUACACAUUUAUUUUAAGAGACAAUAUCAUAUCACAAAUAUGAGAAUAAAACCAUGCUCACAAUCUUAAGCAAACAAGUUAGUCCUUUAAUUGUUUUGUCAUUCAAUUCACCAAAACCUACUUAGGAGCCUAGAUGCACUUUCAAACCACCCUCCUCUACCGCUCGGCCGGCAACGCCACCGCCGCCGCACCUCACCACCCCACGCUCGCCACCUUCACCGGACUGGCAACCUCCCUCUAUGACCGGCAUAUUCUAGUGAAUCCCUAACCCGGAAACCUAAAUCCCUAACCCCGAGCCCUAAUUCCUCACCGGAGCUCGAAUCCACCUCGCCGGAGCUCAAAUCCAGCCCUCGGAUGAGUUCAAAAGGAUUUGAGUGAGGAGAAGCUUCAAAUCACUUGGGUGAGUGAUAGCUUUCUAAAAGGCAAAAUUGUCCACAGGACAUCAUUCAAAGUUAGCUUUUACUACAAACCAUCAAAGAAACAUGUCUUUGUUGUAGGACACUAUUCAACCAUAUCACUUUGGUGUCACUAAACUCUAACUUUUAUUUAGAUUAAUUAGAAAGCAACAGGAAAUGACUAAAUUACCCUACCGACAUAGACCGAUCCCCAAACCUUAUCGGCUCGUGUCAUCGUCCCACUCUCACUCCUGCUCCUGCUCCUACACCCCUACCUACUGCUUCUGCUCC
Molecule: long non-coding RNA, 808 nt
Filed under: Setaria viridis
Lineage: Eukaryota; Viridiplantae; Streptophyta; Magnoliopsida; Poales; Poaceae
Description: long non-coding RNA (SVIR_LNC010547)
Source: RNAcentral